AACCAUAGAAACCUGCGGAGUACCUGCGGAGGGAUCAUUAUAAAAUUUUUCUUGCAUAUUCUUUUAAAAUGUGUAAAAAAAAAUCUUGUAUUCAAAACCCACACUCUUUUUAAAACCUAUAAUAAAAAAAUUUUUAUAUGUUUAUAUACAUGAAAUUUUUUUAUUUAAAAAUAAUAUAAUAAAAAGACAACUUUCAACAACGGAUCU
RNAcentral lists this unclassified non-coding RNA (207 nucleotides) under soil metagenome. Its description in RNAcentral is "partial contains 5.8S ribosomal RNA, internal transcribed spacer 2, and large subunit ribosomal RNA". The record is from RNAcentral.